GUUCUCUGCGCCUCGCCGUGCCGCCCCCCCCUCGUGGUGGAACGUGGUUAAAGACACGGACGGACCGAAACCAGGGGAUCGUUGUGACCCCGGUCCAGUAGAUCCAGAAAGAGAAUCGGACGCAUUUCCUCCUGAUGAUACUUUGAAGGGAGCAGGAAUGACAAAUUUCCCUACAGCGUACUGUGAUGUCUUAGAGCAGUGCAGAAAAGAAGCAAUAUUAAGGGGUGAUGCUGACACGUUGCAAGCCUUUCCUGUGUUGUAUCAGCCGAAUCAGGCCCCCCGUUGGGAAUCCCUGCCUUAUGAGGCAGUGAAGGAGCUAAGGGAGUCAGUGAGAACAUACGGAGUUCAGUCAGCCUUUACAUACAAUCUUUUGGUUGCAAACAGUGACAGUUACGCUAUGACCCCUCACGAUUGGAAAACUGUGUUAAGAAUGAUCCUCCUACACAAUACACCGUGUUUAUGACUGAAUACCGGCUACAUAAUUUGACUGAUACCUCUUUGCCUCAAAUUGGGACAAAUCCAUGUGGCACAGCACCUCUUCAACUGUCAGACAAAUGUCACUCACGUUCCUGAAUUUGGCCGUCUAAAAUAUGCACAUGUAACAAUAGAUACUCACUCUUCUUACGUAUUUGCCACAGCACAUACAGGUGAAUGCAGUCAUGACACCCGUAAACACUGGUUAUCUGCUUAUGCUGCUAUGGGAAUCCCACAUACUACAAAAACAGAUAAUGGGCCUGUGUAUACCUCUAAGGCCACUCGAACUUUCCUCCAAGAAGGGGGUGUUAAACAUACUACAGCCAUUGCUCAUUCUCCCACUGGACAAGCUAUCACUGAGCACAUUUAUCAAACAUUGAAAUCCAUUCUUAUUAUUAUUAAACAAAAAAGGGGGAAUAUGGGAGACACACUACAAGAAAUAUUAUGCAAGGUUUUGCUUGUUUUGCUUGUGCUGAAGUUUUUGAAUCGUGUUCAUAGAGAUACAGCUUAUGUGGAUCGUCAUUUUGAGGCUUCCCCAGUGCUAAAGGAACAGCCUAUGGUUAAUGUUUGGAAUAUGGCCACAGGACUUUGGGACUGUCCCCUACCACUGACAACUUGGGGUCAUGAAUAUGCUCGUAUUUCCACAGGGACUGGCCCUACGUGGGUUCCAGCAUGAUAUGUUUGGUCUCAUCUGAAGGCAGAAAAUAGCAUCCAGCCUUUAUAGUAAUUGUAAUUGUGUGUUUCUAACUUAGUGGAGUUGCUUUGUAACUUGCUGUGUUAUAGAUAAUAUUAGUAAUAGUUUGACAUAGUGUGUGAUUUUCUGUUUUACCAAUGCAGUCUCAAGAAUUAGAGUUUAAGGCAUUAGCUAGGAUGUUGUGUGCUUCUUCUAUUUUAGUAAUAGAUCAGAUGUGUAUUAAACAGGAUUUGAUCUAAUCAAUGCUAGAAUCUACAGGAAUAGCUCUUUUAAUGUUUUAGUACUGUUUGGUUAUGAUGUUAUUAGCCUAUUAAUUAGCUUUUCUUAAUUUGCAAAGACAAAACCUGGAAAGGAAUCCCAGACAAAGAGAUGACCCUGUAUCAUAGAAUAGAUACCUCUCUUACAUCCAACUAAUUGGGAUUUUUGAAAUAUAACCAUGCAUCAUUUUAGACAAAAGUGCACGCUAAUAGAACUAAAUUUGAUAGUUUAUUCUGUUUUCCAAGCAGGUGUUCCACUUGGGCUCUAUAUCACGCACUGGCCAUGCGGAUGUGGUGUACAACUGGAAGAAAUCCUUCAGACCCUGAAUGCAGGAGAGAAUCUGUGAUGGGUGAGAGAGGAAAGGUGCACCUUGAAGCAGGGGACGCCCUGCUGGCACUACCUGUCGCAUCCACCACCAACAUGGCUUGCUGUUUCUCAAGGGUCAAUAAGUAAUAAUGCCCUUAGUGAUACUCUAGUACAUUUGUCCUCUAAAAUUGGUUCUAUUUGACAUGCUACUUCAUAAAAUUGUGCGAUCAUUAAUCAAUUAUUAGCCCGGAUAACUCAGUCAGUAGAGCAUGGUUAUGAGCAUCUUAAAAGCAUUUAUUGCACAAAUUUUAGUGGUCAUUAAAAAUCAAUAUAUCAGAGUAUAUGAAAAUUGAAGACUUUUCCUAAUCAGUUACAGAUUAACACAAUGGGACCCUCACAGAUUUAUUUUCAGGUUGCAGAAACUUAGGUUGCAGAGCAAACACAUUUGUCCUUUACAGCAGGUUUAACAGUAAUGUUGUUAAGUUGUAUUUGACUUGUCUCUUUUUUCACUUUUAGAGUAUUGUCAAUCGAGGCCUUGAUUGAGUUAUAAUAGUUAUGUUAUUAAUAUUAGUAGUGCUGUUAUUCUAUAGGCAGUAUCUUGAAAUUGUAAUACAAGAAGAAUUUUAUGGAGCAGCAGCCAUGGAUCGAGAUAAGGAGUUCACAGAGCAGCUACGGAGCAGGAUAAACAGCAUGAGAACUAAUUGAACAAAUGAACUGAAUUGCUUGUUAAAUAUGGUUAGUCGGUCGGUAAACUGAGCCUUUUCAGCCUAAAAGAAAACGGGGGAAAUGUAGAGAGUGUUUUUUACAGCUAGUUAGCUGAGAAGGGUCGUAAACACGGUGCAGUUAAUCAAGCAGCCAUAACACCUGCAAGGACAGUGAGAACAUCAGGAUGCCCUGUGAUGGUGAGAAACUAGCCAUGGUUCUGGGAACUCAGCAAGGGAGUAUCUUUCAGGAUGAUAACAACAAGCUGUUAAGAUACUCGGGGAUGGUAUGUAAUUGGGAACCAAUGAUGAGCUCCACUUUUGCAAUAUGUAUGAGCUAAUUAUCUGUAUUAUAAAUGUACACGCAGCCAAGGAAUAAACGAGAUUAGCUGAUCAUAUGUCAAUGACA
This is a non-coding RNA of Coturnix japonica (Japanese quail), 2842 nucleotides long. Lineage: Eukaryota; Metazoa; Chordata; Aves; Galliformes; Phasianidae. The record is from RefSeq and is a predicted model, not a curated record.